CCUACGGGGGGCAGCAGUGGGGAAUAUUGCACAAUGGGGGGAACCCUGAUGCAGCGACGCCGCGUGGGUGAAGGAGUAUUUCGGUAUGUAAAGCCCUAUCAGCAGGGAAGAACAAUGACGGUACCUGACUAAGAAGCACCGGCUAAAUACGUGCCAGCAGCCGCGGUAAUACGUAUGGUCCAAGCGUUAUCCGGAUUUACUGGGUGUAAAGGGAGCGCAGGCGGGGCGUUAAGCCUGGUGGGAAAGUCGGCGGCCCAACCGCGGGACUGCGUUGGGAACUGGCGCGCUGGAGUGCGGGUGGGGUAGGCGGAAUGCGUGGUGUAGCGGUGAAAGGCGUAGAUAUUAGGAAGAA
This 352-nucleotide ribosomal RNA is filed under the name uncultured bacterium. RNAcentral's name for it is "partial 16S ribosomal RNA". It matches the Rfam family "Bacterial small subunit ribosomal RNA", at positions 338 to 706 of the family's 1533-position model. The record is from RNAcentral.